CGGCGCACGGGUGCGUAACGCGUAUGCAACCUACCUUUCACAGGGGGAUAGCCCGAAGAAAUUUGGAUUAAUACCCCAUAAUAUUAUUGGAUGGCAUCAUUUGAUAAUUAAAGCUACGACGGUGAAAGAUGGGCAUGCGUCCUAUUAGCUAGUUGGAGUGGUAACGGCACCCCAAGGCUACGAUAGGUAGGGGUCCUGAGAGGGAGAUCCCCCACACUGGUACUGAGACAGGGACCAGACUCCUACGGGAGGCAGCAGUGAGGAAUAUUGGUCAAUGGUCGGAAGACUGAACCAGCCAUGCCGCGUGCAGGAAGAAUGCCUUAUGGGUUGUAAACUGCUUUUAUAUGGGAAGAAUAAGGCGUACGUGCACGUUGAUGACGGUACCAUAUGAAUAAGC
RNAcentral lists this ribosomal RNA (397 nucleotides) under Capnocytophaga granulosa. RNAcentral describes it as "bacterial SSU rRNA". It matches the Rfam family "Bacterial small subunit ribosomal RNA", at positions 96 to 491 of the family's 1533-position model. The record is from RNAcentral. Lineage: Bacteria; Pseudomonadati; Bacteroidota; Flavobacteriia; Flavobacteriales; Flavobacteriaceae.